GCAAGAGGAGCCUGGAGACAGGUGCUGCAUGGCUGUCGUCAGCUCGUGUCGUGAGAUGUUGGGUUAAGUCCCGCAACGAGCGCAACCCUUGUCUUUAGUUGCCAUCAUUCAGUUGGGCACUCUAAAGAGACUGCCGGUGUCAAACCGGAGGAAGGUGGGGAUGACGUCAAGUCCUCAUGGCCUUUAUGACCAGGGCUACACACGUACUACAAUGGCCGGUACAAAGGGCAGCCACUUAGCGAUAAGGAGCCAAUCCCGUAAAGCCGGUCUCAGUCCGGAUUGGAGUCUGCAACUCGACUCCAUGAAGUUGGAAUCGCUAGUAAUCGCAGAUCAGCACGCUGCGGUGAAUACGUUCCCGGGCCUU
This 364-nucleotide ribosomal RNA is filed under the name uncultured Desulfocapsa sp. Its description in RNAcentral is "bacterial SSU rRNA". It matches the Rfam family "Bacterial small subunit ribosomal RNA", at positions 1017 to 1382 of the family's 1533-position model. Lineage: Bacteria; Pseudomonadati; Thermodesulfobacteriota; Desulfobulbia; Desulfobulbales; Desulfocapsaceae. The record is from RNAcentral.